GUCUCGAAACCCCUCGCGCGACCCCACACCCAGCUGGAAUUCGGCAAAAGCCGGAAACAGGUGUGUCCCCAGGACAGACGCGCCUGGAGAGGAGCGGCAGAGGGCGCAGGCGCGCGGCCCCCGCCCGGCCCAGCCCGGUCCACAGGCAGCUAGCCAUCCCGCUGCCCUUCACCUGAGCGGCGGCGGAAGGCGAGGAGCCACGAGGGAGCAGGUCUCCAAAACAGUGAGCUGCUAAAGCAGAGAGGCUGCUCUGAAUUUAAAAAGUUAUUUCUGUUCGUUUAUUCCUUGCCAUGGGCACCCACAGUGUCUCAGGAACCAUAGUAGGUUCUGGGGACUAAAGAUGCGUCGGACAGGAUCCUUGGACUGAAGAAACUGCCGUCUUGUGAAAGAAACACCCCUCCUUUCAAGCUCUCCGACCUGUGCCCUCAUUUCGGCCUCAGCCCCAGACAUCACUUAUUCUACAGCAAAUUCCAUCUGUGUCAUGAGGUGCCAGCAGAGGGCUUCCCUGCCGAAAGUCAAAUCAUCAUGUCCCUGGAACACGCUGCGUUUAUUCACGGUCAAUUGCCAUAGUUCAACUGGAAACAGCUCUAAGAACCCAUAGAUUUUUUUAUUGCCACUAAUAGAAAGAUCAUGAUUUAUAGACAGAAUUUAAAAGGUCCAAUUAGCUACCCAUAUAGGACACAAGAAGAAAACCUUUAGCAAGAGACGUUUCUUUUGCUUUCUCUCUCCUAGUCAGAUAGGACUUUGGAAAAGGCCCAGUGUGCUUCCAUCAGCCCUAAUCUUCAAGUUCAUAGAAAGAAAUGGACUCACAUCAUGGGGUUCUGCUACCCCCACGGCUUAUUUCCCACGAUAUGAAAGAGUACAGUUGCCAAGACCAGGAUACCUGCCUUGGGUUGUGUUUGCAGCCAGCAACCCUGAGGGAUGAGGUAACGUUUUCCCCUGGACAACGCAGGCUUGCGUCUGCUUACUCUGGCGCAGCCACCAAGAUCAGUGCUCCUCUCCUGUAAUGCAGUCACUGCGUGUGCAGGCAUCCGUGGUGGACUCUGCAUCACCCCAUGGGACUCAGAGGGCGUGGGAACCUGGACAAACAUCAGAGUGACACUCUGCCUGCUGCUUUUGCCGCUGGGAGGCGAGACCAUGUGAAGACACAGGGAACGUGGAAGGCCAUCUACAAGCCAAGGAGACGGGCCUCAGAAGAAACCAACCCCCUGAUGCCUCGAUCUCCAACUUGCAGCCUCCAGAACUGUGAGAAAAUAAAUUUCUCUUGUGUAAGCCACCCAGCCUGUGCUCCUUGUUCUGGCAGCCCCAGCAAACUAAUACAAAUACUGAUAAAAACGAAGCCAAACAUUUAAAAGUAAUAAUAAAUAACUUAGUUGAAAGUUUAUUUUUUUUUUCUUGAAGAUUUUACUUUUUCCUUUUUCUCCCAAAGCCCCCAGUACACAGUUGUGUAUUUUUAGUUGUGGGUCCUUCUAGUUGUGGCAGGUGGGACACCGCCUCAGCAUGGCUUGAUGAGCAGUGCCAAUGUCCACGCCCAGGAUCCGAACUGGUGAAACUCUGGGCCAUGGAAGCAGAGCGC
Long non-coding RNA from Equus asinus (donkey), 1576 nucleotides. Lineage: Eukaryota; Metazoa; Chordata; Mammalia; Perissodactyla; Equidae. The record is from Ensembl.